UAGUGAAAGGAGAAGCACAAAAUCUGGUAAAGCUGCAUUUUAUCCAGACAAGAAUGGGCAAGAGCGUGACCAUCAACUACAGCCUUUUGAGGGAUGAUGCUUCAAAAUCAAGCCAUAGGAAAGCACAAGUCUGUCAGUAAAAAUGCACCAUAUGCAGCAAAGUCCUCCUGUGUUUAUUCAGAAAUAAGCUCAAGUUCUCUGAGACAUCGCAUCAGUACGGAGCCAGGACGUGACUGCACUUUGGGGUCUCUCCAGCCCCCAAAAGUUCCAGCUGCAACCUCCCUUCCCCAGGCCAGCCUUUCUGAACGCUCCCCUGACCACCCCAGUCAAUGGCUCACAACAGUCUCCUGUUACUGGGUGCCUGCUCCUGCCUGUUCUCAUGACCUUCAGAUCACAGAACUUGCUUGUCUCCUGAGGGGAGAGCUUUCAGAACUCCUGAAGACCUGGACAGCGGCAGGCUCCAAGGAGCCUCACGAUGUCUGGCUGCAGAGCAUCCAAGCCUGGUACUGGACAUCAUUUACUCCAGGAAGAUGGAGCCAGCUAGGUCUGCCUUUUCUCUAGCGUCUGAUUCAGCCUUUUGGGCUCAUCAGUGGUUCCUGCUGCUUUUACAAGGCUGUUGGACAGAAAUACCUGUGCUCAGAGCCUACCUGGCAAGUACAUACUAGUGGUUAUACACAAAUGACCUUUCAUGUAUGUAAUAAAUUAAAGGUUUGUUUGUUUUAAGCAUUUGUAUUUAAAAAAAACACCAAACCACUUUGCUUGGGAGGAACAGUAGCAUGACACGUGACACAAGACACUGACACAGGUUACAGAAUCUCUACGAGCAUGGAAUUGUUUUUUGAAUUAAAAAAAAAAAAAAACUGUGUAGAAGACUUGCACAAGCACAGUCAUCCAUUUGUGAACACUGUUAGCAUGAGAAAGUGUUACAAUGCAGCCGCACUUGAUUUCAGGAGCGAGCAUAAAGACCAGUCAUGGGAAGCACGUCCCAACCAGAAAGCAGCUACACGGCCCCACGGAACAGGCAGCCCCCACAAGCAAUGCGAAGCUCCGACUCCAUAAACCAGAGAAGCCCCAGUGCAGCUGUCAGGCAAGCCUGCCAAGCCUUCAGAGGCUAUGCUUUAGCUACGUCUGCCUAGUCCACCAUACAGGCUUUAAGAAACAAAGACAAAAGCAAGCAUUCUUACUCCAUCGAUUACUUAGAGUUGUAGUGAACGCUCUGAGUCCCUCAGCAGGGUGAAUACUGUGUCCUUUCAUGAAAUAAAAGCACUAUACAUGUUUUAGAAAUAAAGCAAGUUAAUUGCCCGCGGGUACAAAGAACGUCUGUGAGAGGUGGAGGAAAUGGGGAAUUGGAAGCACAGUUCGAGUGCCAGCCUCUCUGCUGGAGGCAGCAGGACUGGAGGAGAGGCUGAAGGGGAGGCCAACAGGUCUCCACAGCUCCACCUGCAGCCUCCCAGCACGCGCUAACCCUGUAAGCGCCAGGUCCCGCUGCCGACAGGGUGUGCAGAGCCUGCACUGAGCAUCCAGUGUCACCAGGCCUCCGCCUGCUGCCUUCAGGUACCACAGGCUUUGUCUGGUGGCCCCCAGCGCCUGUGGCGAGUCACCCUACACUGUCCUCCUUUGGGGCCAGGCUCAACCUUAGACCUGUGCUAACAUCGGCCUACCUCAAGGCCUCUACAGCAGGUAUGCUGUCACCCUGAAGACGCUUUUUUCCUGCUCCUGUCUAUCAGAAAAAAUAAAGACUGCCUCAGCAGUGGCACAUGCUGCAGAAUUUAUAAAACCCUAAACUGUGCUCAGCAGGGUUUUUUUCCCUUUUAAUAUAUGCCUAGUCCACACUCAAGUGCACACAAACUCUACUCUUCAAUAUAAAUUUCGUAGAUCUGGUUCCUUUGCUGACAAGGUAACUGGCAACAGAAAGCAUUCCAUCACUUUUCACCAGCUGACCCCCAUAAGCCCACUGUGGGCAGAAGCCUUAUUAACAAAAAGGGAACAGCUUAUUUCUUGCAAAGUCACAAGCACAGGAGUUCAAGCUGUGACUUUGCUUACUGGAGGCUUUGAUAUUUCCUCAAUAAGCACCGCAUCAAACCAAAAGCUCGUCGUCUCCUUCUCCAGCUGCACAAGUCAGACUUGUACCAGCCAUUACAAAGGCUGCGUCCUCAGUCACAGCACCAAAAUGUCAAUGCUGCUUUUGCACAGUUGUCAGUCACACAAAAUACUCAUUUCUGUUUAAGUUUCUAAAACGUACUUAGUAAGUGAAAAAAUGUUAGUAGAGGGAUAACAAAAUGAAUAAAAGCACAGACUAGUAUUUCUGAAUUGGGAAUUGUAACAUAUGCUACAAGCUCUGACUGGCUGCUGGGAGGA
Long non-coding RNA from Cygnus olor (mute swan), 2358 nucleotides. RefSeq lists it as uncharacterized. The transcript is spliced from 2 exons. NCBI's taxonomy places the organism in Eukaryota, Metazoa, Chordata, Aves, Anseriformes, Anatidae. The record is from RefSeq and is a predicted model, not a curated record.